UGGAGGUUGAACUAACCAUUUUAGCUUCAACUAGUGAAAAAGUGAAUUGAUCAAUCACUUUAUGUUGAGAAAUUGAUUUCUCUAAUUUUGAGUUAUUGUGAUAGUACCAUUGUUAUUAUAAAGUUUGAAGUUGUUAUUACAACAAUAAAUUUAGACCCCUGAGAAUAAAAAAUAUUGUGAUAUUAUAUUUGACCAGAGUUACCACUAACUUUGAAUAUGUCAAAUUAUGUGAUUAUUUGCAGAUAAAUUAAGCAAGGUCUUAGCA
RNAcentral lists this long non-coding RNA (265 nucleotides) under Capsicum annuum. Its description in RNAcentral is "long non-coding RNA (CANN_LNC004362)". Lineage: Eukaryota; Viridiplantae; Streptophyta; Magnoliopsida; Solanales; Solanaceae. The record is from RNAcentral.